Molecule: long non-coding RNA, 461 nt
Filed under: Brassica rapa (field mustard)
Lineage: Eukaryota; Viridiplantae; Streptophyta; Magnoliopsida; Brassicales; Brassicaceae
Description: long non-coding RNA (BRAP_LNC008866)
Source: RNAcentral
UGCAUAGUAUAUGGAUAAGGCACCAAGGUUUGAAUCUAGUCAAAGGGAAUCAAGAAGAUGCUGUGUGGAGCUGAUUGGUUACUUUGGGGCAUGGACAGGCUGGCUGUUGCUGUAAAGAGGAAGGCAGCCACGACCAUGCACCUAGACUGAUCUAUGGACAGAUACAAAGGAGCCUAAGAAGAACCAAUCAAAGCACAGCCUUGUUUGAAUUAAAGUGAGCCAACUUAGCUCAUCCAAUCAGCACACAUCACUCAGAUUACAACAAGACCAACUCAUCCUCACCAUCCAUUCCUCUUAAGUUAUUUCUAUCCAUUAGAUAUAGGUUUAUGAGUUUGCAAGAGUGUAAAACCUAUAUAAAGACCCUUAUGGGCGUGUCUAGCUCUCUUAAGAGAGUAUGGGGGUUUUCCCCAUCUCCUUCACAAAUAUAAAAGUGUGUUCUUGAUCAGAUUCCCUUAAUCUAC